CAGCAGCCGCGGGAAUACAGAGGGUGCAAGCGUUAAUCGGAAUUACUGGGCGUAAAGCGCGCGUAGGUGGUUCGCCAAGUUGGAUGUGAAAUCCCCGGGCUCAACCUGGGAACUGCAUCCAAAACUGGCGAGCUAGAGUAUGGUAGAGGGUGGUGGAAUUUCCUGUGUAGCGGUGAAAUGCGUAGAUAUAGGAAGGAACAUCAGUGGCGAAGGCGACCACCUGGACUGAUACUGACACUGAGGUGCGAAAGCGUGGGGAGCAAACAGGAUUAGAUACCCCAGUAGUCCCUGUCUCUUAUAC
This 301-nucleotide ribosomal RNA is filed under the name uncultured bacterium. RNAcentral describes it as "partial 16S ribosomal RNA". It matches the Rfam family "Bacterial small subunit ribosomal RNA", at positions 509 to 807 of the family's 1533-position model. The record is from RNAcentral.